ACCCCGGAUGGGAGGCUGGACCGGUGAAUGUGUGUGAGAGAUGCAGUGUCCUGGAUUUGGGCUUCUUUUCCCUUUGUGCAGCAGGCCUGUGAUCCCGGAUAAUCCCCUUGCCUUGGGUCAUGGCGACAUUGGAGAUAGUGCAACUGGCAUCCUCCCCACUGGCUGUGCAGUUGGGCAGAGGCUGUGCUUGGGAUUCACAAUUGACCACAGCGCAGUGACCACUCCAGCCCAUCCCUAUGGCGGCUCCCCUCCCGUGGCUCGCCCUUCUGCACCAAAUGAGCUUCUGGGCGCUCCGCCAGCUCGUAUCCGGCAGCCUCUUGUCGGCCCAGGAGCGCUUUGGACUCAAAUGCCUCCAAUGGGACUUCAGGUGUGCCUCGGGCCGGAAAGGCCUCGCAGAGAGAGGGGUGGAGCCUAACUUGCCCCCUCCCAGAGCCCAACAGUUUGCGUGGAACCCCGAUAUAAACCCUUUAACGCAGAGUCAUCAAAACAACCCUAGGAAAAAUAGCAGCUUCACAGGUUUGGAUCCUGGCAGACAGCUCCGUAACUAGGAAUGGAGGUUAAAAUCACCAGCAGUGAGUCACCGUGACAUCAUAAGCCCCGGGUAUGAGAAGGGAACAUCACCUCUCUGGUAUCCUUCCCAGUAAUGUGAAAACCUCAAUCUAACCGACAUAAACCAAACUGAGAGGGUCUACACAGUCACUGGCGGGCUCUCUUCAAGAGCGUCUGAUCAUGAACGACUGAGACUCUGUCACCGACUGGAGGAGUCCAAGGAGACAUGACAACAUAAUGCAAUGAGAUCUUGGAUUGGGUCCUGGAACAGUAAAAGGACCAGCAGAAAACCUGGAGAAAGCCAAAUCAAGUCUGUAGUUUAUUAAUAGUAUUGUACCAAGGUUAAGUUCUUAGUUUUAAGAAAUGUAUUAUGGUUAUGUAAGAUGUUAGCACUGGGGGCAGCAAGGUGAAGGGUAUAUGGGAACUCAGUGCUAUUUUUGCAACUUUUCUGUAAGUCUAAAAUUAUCUCAAAAUAAAAAGUUAAAAAAUAAACCUAGGAAACAGG
Molecule: long non-coding RNA, 1054 nt
Organism: Mustela lutreola (European mink)
Lineage: Eukaryota; Metazoa; Chordata; Mammalia; Carnivora; Mustelidae
Exons: 2
Source: RefSeq, a predicted model, not a curated record